CAGAAUGUGAUAGCCAUGAGCCAAGGGCCAUCGCUGUGAUAGUGUGAGCCGGGAUAAGCUUGGUGCUACUUCUUUUCUUUUAUUUGUUAUUUUCUUUGAAUAAGAGGAUUGAGAGUUUUUGAAUAUUGUGAAGUAAAUUAUGGAAUGGAAAUUUGAUUGGUAUUAUUUGAGAAGAAGAAAGAUUGAAUGUUGUAAUCUAAUUGUAGUUCAGCAGAGAAAAUGAGUCUAUGUUUGUAUGAAACAUUGUAAUAUGAAUGGCAGUUCUGUGUGAAGAAUUCCAGUGAUUGGAACGAGGGUAAUUGUAUGCUGAAAUCUGUGAGGGCGCAGUAUUACAGUUAGAGAUUAUGAGGGUGAAUAUAUUGGUAGAAAUAGCAGUUAUUGAUAUGACUGAAUUGCUGUAAAGAAGAGACCAAUAAGGUGAAGGAGGAGAUUAUAGUUUCCUUGUGUGUUUAGAUAUUGGAAAUAGAGACAAUACAUUCAGGAGGUAAUUAAUUGUGUGACCCUAAUGUGAACGCUUAAGCAACUAGUCAUUUCUCGUGUUCGAAUCUCCCUAUAUGGAUUUAUGCUGAGAGGUUUUUUCUGGAUUAAAUAAAAAGAGCAAUCAUAUUUUGGCGCCGCUGCUGGGGAGUGAUAAUAGCUUUGAAUGUUAGGAAUUAAUUACUAAAUAUGUAAAAAAAUUAGUAAUGGAAGAUGAUUUCAGUAGUGUUUGAAGCAAGAUUAUGGUUAAUAAGAACGAAAGUAUUGCAUCGAGGAAAAU
Molecule: long non-coding RNA, 757 nt
Filed under: Physcomitrium patens
Lineage: Eukaryota; Viridiplantae; Streptophyta; Bryopsida; Funariales; Funariaceae
Description: long non-coding RNA (PPAT_LNC007692)
Source: RNAcentral